GGGGAGCGGGUGUAAGUCUUUAUGAUGGUUAUACACCACGUUGGGCAGGCUUGUUUAAUCUCCAUAUAAAGACCUGAAGCUUAAACUCCAGAAAGUCUGAAGAGACUGCAAGACUUGAGAUCGGGUGAGGUUAACGUACUUUCAGGGUAGGGGUAAAAUCCUGUAAUCCCGGAAGGACGACCAGUGGCGAAAGCGUUUAACUAGAACGAAUCUGACGGUAAGGAACGAAGGCUAGGGUAGCAAACCGGAUUAGAUACCCGGGUAGUCCUAGCUGUAAACAUUGCCCAUUUGAUGUUGCUUUCCCGUUGAGGGAAGGCAGUGUCGGAGCGAAGGUGUUAAAUGGGCCGCUUGGGAAGUAUGGUCGCAAGACUGAAACUUAAAGGAAUUGGCGGGGGAGCACCGCAACGGGAGGAAUGUGCGGUUUAAUUGGAUUCAACGCCGGAAAACUCACCGGGAACGACCUGUGCAUGAGAGUCGACUUGACGAGCUUACUCGAUAGCAGGAGAAGGUGGUGCAUGGCCGUCGUUCGCUCGUUACCGUAGGGCCGUACACUUAAGUGUGAUAACGA
Molecule: ribosomal RNA, 568 nt
Filed under: uncultured bacterium
Lineage: Bacteria
Description: partial 16S ribosomal RNA
Rfam family: Archaeal small subunit ribosomal RNA
Source: RNAcentral